RNAcentral lists this ribosomal RNA (450 nucleotides) under uncultured bacterium. RNAcentral describes it as "bacterial SSU rRNA". It matches the Rfam family "Bacterial small subunit ribosomal RNA", at positions 8 to 460 of the family's 1533-position model. The record is from RNAcentral.
AGAGUUUGAUCCUGGCUCAGAUUGAACGCUGGCGGCAUGCCUUACACAUGCAAGUCGAACGGCAGCACGGGAGCAAUCCUGGUGGCGAGUGGCGAACGGGUGAGUAAUAUAUCGGAACGUGCCCAGUCGUGGGGGAUAACGUAGCGAAAGCUACGCUAAUACCGCAUACGAUCUAUGGAUGAAAGCGGGGGAUCGCAAGACCUCGCGCGAUUGGAGCGGCCGAUAUCAGAUUAGGUAGUUGGUGGGGUAAAGGCUCACCAAGCCGACGAUCUGUAGCUGGUCUGAGAGGACGACCAGCCACACUGGGACUGAGACACGGCCCAGACUCCUACGGGAGGCAGCAGUGGGGAAUUUUGGACAAUGGGCGCAAGCCUGAUCCAGCAAUGCCGCGUGCAGGAUGAAGGCCUUCGGGUUGUAAACUGCUUUUGUACGGAGCGAAAAGGCUCUCUC